GUGGACGUAGGAUUAUUUUGAUCCGAACCACGUUAAAUCUUGUGUUUUUUCUUUUACGUUUCCGCUAACAGUGAUGUUAGAUUUUAGUUGUCUGAUAAUAGCUGAAGUACCAAGCUGCAUAGUCUGCUAAUCAAUGGGGAGUAUGUUACAUGCUUGUUUUCCAUUUUCGAAGGGCUGUGAAUUUUCCAACUUUAGAUGAGCUUAACUCUGGAUGUGACCUUAAUCCUUCUUAAUGUUGAUAAUAGGAGAAAUAUUUGGUGAUGCUAAUGAACUGCUAUCACCAAGGCAGGUAAAUGUAUGUUUACUUCAUGAUCAUUAUGUUGGAUACUUUGAUGGAACAGUAGGAUAAUGUCAUUUGUAGUUGGCAAUUCGUCCGUGUAAUAUUGUGUACGUGAUAUAGAUGAUGAUAUUCUUUUUGUUUCCAGAUGCUAAUUCAGCCUAGCUUACUAAUA
Molecule: RNA transcript, 452 nt
Organism: Nicotiana tabacum (common tobacco)
Lineage: Eukaryota; Viridiplantae; Streptophyta; Magnoliopsida; Solanales; Solanaceae
Source: RefSeq, a predicted model, not a curated record